This is a long non-coding RNA of Lucilia cuprina (Australian sheep blowfly), 384 nucleotides long. RefSeq lists it as uncharacterized. The transcript has 3 exons. The record is from RefSeq and is a predicted model, not a curated record. NCBI's taxonomy places the organism in Eukaryota, Metazoa, Arthropoda, Insecta, Diptera, Calliphoridae.
UAAAUCAAAUUAUUUUAUUUGAAAAAUUCAAUUUUCUUCAAUAACUUCUUAAAAGAAAACUUGCACAUGAAUGGCGUGCGCAUAUUCUGCUUUGGAUUAAACGAUAUACAUAUGGAUUUCUGAGCAUCAUUGGUUUGGAAUCAAGACUAAGCUUUGAAAUUAAAGAUAAGCGUUUUUAAUUAUCUUAAUCCCAAUUCCACAAUUAUUAUUUUUUUAUAUGAAUGUGCAACAUAGGUCUGGUGGAAGUUCUGCAAUACCGUAAAGUGUACGAAGAAAACAUUUCAAUAUUUAUCCGCAAGAUUCCGUCUACGCAUGUAAUGCAAAUGAGGGAUCGGGCAAUAUCUUUAAGUAUAUAUCAAUAUAAUAUUUUCACAACAAUUUGAA